This 494-nucleotide ribosomal RNA is filed under the name uncultured bacterium. RNAcentral's name for it is "partial 16S ribosomal RNA". It matches the Rfam family "Bacterial small subunit ribosomal RNA", at positions 28 to 507 of the family's 1533-position model. The record is from RNAcentral.
GACGAACGCUGGCGGCGUGCUUAACACAUGCAAGUCGAACGGAAAUGCCUGCUUUCUCUUGUGGAUUCCGGUUACUCGCGUGGCGAACGGGUGAGUAACACGUGAGUUAUCUCACCCCAACUUGUGUAUAAACCUGGGACACUCGGUCUAAUUCCCGUUUGGCCUCCGGGGUGGUUCCUGUGGUUUAAAACGAUUUUCUAGUAGUUUGUGGUGAGCUCGCGGCCUAUUAGCUUGUUGGUGGGGUAAUGGCCUCCCGAGGCGGGGACGGGUAGCCGGCCUGAGGGGGUGGACGGGCACAUUGGGGCUGAGAUACGGCCCAGACUCCGACGGACGGCAGCAGUGGGGAAGAUUGGAAGAUGGGCGGAAGACUGAUGCAGGGACGCCGAGUGGGGGAUGACGGCCUUCGGGUUGUAAACUCCUUUCGGCAGCGAGGAAGCCACCUGGUUGGAAGGGUAGUGACGGUAGUGGUAGAAGAAGCACCGGCUAACUACGUG